This 303-nucleotide ribosomal RNA is filed under the name uncultured bacterium. RNAcentral describes it as "partial 16S ribosomal RNA". It matches the Rfam family "Bacterial small subunit ribosomal RNA", at positions 507 to 807 of the family's 1533-position model. The record is from RNAcentral.
AGCAGCCGCCGCGGGAAUACGAAGGGUGCAAGCGUUACUCGGAAUUACUGGGCGUAAAGCGUGCGUAGGUGGUGGUUUAAGUCCGUUGUGAAAGCCCUGGGCUCAACCUGGGAAUUGCAGUGGAUACUGGGUCACUAGAGUGUGGUAGAGGAUAGUGGAAUUUCCGGUGUAGCAGUGAAAUGCGUAGAGAUCGGAAGGAACAUCUGUGGCGAAGGCGGCUUACUGGCUCAUACUGGACGCUGAGGUGCGAAAGCGUGGGGAGCAAACAGGAUUAGAUACCCGCGUAGUCCCUGUCUCUUAUAC